GGCAGGAAGAACAUUUCAAUCAUUUUUGGGUUAGGAAGAAAAUCCAAGUUGACAUUUCUCAUGGAUAUUUACUGUUUUUUUUUUUUUAAAUAGCUAUUUCCCUUUUAAUCUUUGCAACAUAAUAUGAAUGAUUUGAAUAAGUUUUUGCAGCUGUACAAAAAUAACCCUGCCUAUGGUACUAUGUUAAUUUGUUACUGGCUUUGCAAUUUAGAAGAUUUGAUUAUUUCAAACUCCACAGCCUCUAUGAUGUCCUCCAAUGAUCCCUGCCUUCUUGUAUUUACACCUUCGUGCAGUCUGUUCCCAGGUCUGUGAGACCAAUAGCCUAAUGAUGGCGUUUCACUUCCAGGAUAAGGUUAUAAAAAUCUGCCUUCUGUCCUAGUCAUCCUUUCUAUUUCCCUCUCUCUUGGAUCUCUUGCUCUGGGAGAAGCUAUGCUGUGAGCAGUGCUGUGGAGAGGCGCACACAGUGAGGAACUGAAGCCCCCUGCUGACAGCCAUGCGAAUGAGCUUGGAAGAGUAUCCUUUGGACCAGUCAAGCUGUAGAUGACUGCAGCCCCACUAACACUGCAGAGGUGUGAGAGAUGUUGAGCCAGAACCACCCAGCUAGGCCAGUCUUGGAUUCCUGACCCACAGAAACUGUCAGAUAAUAAAUGCUUAUUGUUUGAAGCCAAUAAGACUGGGGUUACUUGUUAC
Molecule: long non-coding RNA, 690 nt
Filed under: Homo sapiens (human)
Lineage: Eukaryota; Metazoa; Chordata; Mammalia; Primates; Hominidae
Description: HSALNT0055689
Source: RNAcentral